Molecule: ribosomal RNA, 462 nt
Filed under: uncultured Paludibacter sp.
Lineage: Bacteria; Pseudomonadati; Bacteroidota; Bacteroidia; Bacteroidales; Paludibacteraceae
Description: bacterial SSU rRNA
Rfam family: Bacterial small subunit ribosomal RNA
Source: RNAcentral
UGCCUACGGGGGGCUGCAGUGAGGAAUAUUGGUCAAUGGGCGAGAGCCUGAACCAGCCAAGUCGCGUGAAGGAAGAAGGUCUUAUGGAUUGUAAACUUCUUUUACAGGGGAAUAAAGAUGAGUACGCGUACUCAGUUGUAGGUACCCUGAGAAUAAGGAUCGGCUAACUCCGUGCCAGCAGCCGCGGUAAUACGGAGGAUUCGAGCGUUAUCCGGAUUUAUUGGGUUUAAAGGGUGCGCAGGCGGGUUGAUAAGUCAGUGGUGAAAGGUUUACGCUUAACGUAGACAUUGCCAUUGAAACUGUCGAUCUUGAGUACAAAUGAGGUAGGCGGAAUGUGUUGUGUAGCGGUGAAAUGCAUAGAUAUGACACAGAACACCGAUUGCGAAGGCAGCUUACUGGGAUGUAACUGACGCUCAGGCACGAAAGCGUGGGGAUCAAACAGGAUUAGAUACCCGUGUAGUC